CAAUAGCGUAUAUUAAAGUUGUUGCAGUUAAAAAGCUCGUAGUUGGAUUUCUGGGAGGGUGCCGCCGUCCGGCGUGUCCGUGUGCAGUGGCGCCCUUCCAUCCUUCUGUUAGCGUCUCUUGGCAUUCAUUUGCUGGUGGCGGGCUCAGAUAUUUUACCUUGAGAAAAUUAGAGUGUUUCAGGCAGGCUAGGCCGGAAUACAUUAGCAUGGAAUAAUGGAAUAGGACUACGGUCUCUUUGUUGGUUUGAGGAACUGCAGUAAUGAUUAAUAGGGAUAGUUGGGGGCAUUAGUAUUUAAUUGUCAGAGGUGGAAUUCUCAGAUUUGUUAAAGACUAACUUAUGCGAAAGCAUUUGCCAAGGAUGUUUUCAUUAA
RNAcentral lists this ribosomal RNA (372 nucleotides) under uncultured eukaryote. RNAcentral describes it as "partial 18S ribosomal RNA". It matches the Rfam family "Eukaryotic small subunit ribosomal RNA", at positions 592 to 976 of the family's 1831-position model. The record is from RNAcentral.